AAUAAAAUAGAUGGACAAAGCAAAUUGGGAUGCAUAUCAUAUUAAAAUAUUUUGUGAGAUAUGCAAAGAAGAGACGGAGAAGUACAAUAGGCCGGGAGGUUAUUUGAGUCCCAAAGGUUACAACAAUCUUCAGGAGAAAUUUUUUGAGCUAGCUAAGAAAAGACGCACAAGAAGGCAAUUCAAAAACAAAUGGGACCAAUUGAAGAAACAAUAUGCUCGGUAUAUGGCGUUGAAGAAUUCUGAAUUCUGCAACUGGACUUGGUUGGAAUGAAAAGAUGGGAACAAUUGAAGCUGAUGAUAGUUGGUGGGACAUUCAUCUUAAGGACAUGCAAAGUGGCGGUACAUGGGCCCUCCCAACUUGAAGGAGAUGGAUGUUAUGUUUGAAAAUGCUCAUAUCACCGGGGAAACAACCUCCAUUCCAGGAGAGGUAUCCAAUAGCUCAGAUGGUUGGAGCCCCACAAUCUUUCUCUCAAGUUGAAAAUCGUUUUGCAAGAUCAACUGAAACAAUUCAUCGAAAGUUCAAAGAAGUGUUGGAUUGUCUGCGCAAGUUAUCAUCCAACAACAUAAAACCCACUGAUUAUUCUUUCUCAACUCCUCAUGAAAGAAUUAAAGAUGAUCGAUUUUGGCCACAUGUUUUGCGACAAACUGUACCACUACAAGGCGAUAGUACCUCAUCUUUACUUGAUGCGGUAAACAUGAAUGAUCUUCGUGAGAGCAUAGAUGUAGGAAAUAGGAAGUAUAUUUUGGUAUAAAUAUAUGGACAAUGAUAUAUGAACAAUGUUCAUGAUGAUGUAUGAACAACUAAUGUUAUAUAUGAACAAUGUUAGCAAUUAUCAUA
Long non-coding RNA from Hordeum vulgare subsp. vulgare (domesticated barley), 838 nucleotides. RefSeq lists it as uncharacterized. The record is from RefSeq and is a predicted model, not a curated record. Lineage: Eukaryota; Viridiplantae; Streptophyta; Magnoliopsida; Poales; Poaceae. The transcript has 2 exons.